This is an RNA transcript of Glycine soja, 5003 nucleotides long. It is a transcript of the gene named ABC transporter C family member 3-like, with no coding region annotated. The record is from RefSeq and is a predicted model, not a curated record. NCBI's taxonomy places the organism in Eukaryota, Viridiplantae, Streptophyta, Magnoliopsida, Fabales, Fabaceae. The transcript is spliced from 9 exons.
CGUUGAACACGCUAUCUCCUACUUAUCUAUCACUCUCUCACACCGGCUCACUCGCUAGCCACUUCUUGUUAAAAGAACUCUCACUUUGCAGCAAAGUCAACAAGUCAACCAUUGCUCAUCAUCGAGAAAAAUGGACCCCAAGUGAAGCUUCUUGCUUGGUUUUGUUUCGUUUAAAGUAAGGUAUAUGAUACCAUGUUCUUACUCUUCUUCCACGAUGCACUAUGGAACUGAUUUUCUCCUCCAAUCCAUUUUCUCACGAGGGGUAUCUGCUUCGUUCCACCUAGUCUUUGUUAAUUGUGCUUGCUUGUGUAAUCGCUAUUGAAGAAAUUAAAGUGCAAGUGAACCAUAGAUAAAAGAGUGAAAAAAUUAGAUUCCAUAAUUCUGCUUUCUUGUACUAAAAGCAUAGCCUGGUUUGUAGCUUAGUUAUUUCUGUGUUCAACCUUGUGUUGGGCUUACUAAGUUACUUUUACUUGUCUAAACAUGAUGGCUUACAGGAGCAUAUCACAGUUUCUGAUUUGGCUCUAAAAACAGUUGUUUGGGGUGCUAUUUGUGCUUAUUUACAUUCUAGGAACUCUGAGGCACAGGACCCGAGUUUCCCAUGUUUGUUGAGAAUUUGGUGCUGGCCCUAAGCAUUUGUUUCUUGUUCUUGCCUUGUUAUUGACUUUGUAGUCUAUGGAAAGAAUGUUUUUUUGCCAAUUACAAACCUUGUUUCUGACAUAGGUUCCUCUAUUUCGGGUUUAAUUCUGUGUUAUGUUGGAUGUUCUCCUAAAAAUAUGGCUAAGCUUGCUUCUCUUGAAGAGCCCCUUUUGAAUGGUGACUCUAAAGUACAGAACAAUUCUGAUCCCAGUAAGACUAAAGGAAAUAACUAUUCAAUUGCUGGAGUUUUCAGCAUUCUUACUUUCUCAUGGAUCAGUCCAAUAAUAACCCUAGGCAAUGAGAAGACAUUAGAGCAUGAGGACCUCCCACUUCUUGCUACUGAUGACAGUGCCUAUGGGGUUUUUCCAACUUUUAGAAACAAACUAGAGUCAGAGUGCGGUAGUGUUAGGAAUGUGACCACUCUUAAACUCGUGAAGGUGUUAUUCUUGUCAACAUGGCAAGGAAUUCUUUUGUCAGGUUUAUUUGCAUUACUGUACACGUGUGCUUCUUAUGUUGGACCCUUUCUUAUUGAAAUCUUUGUUCAAUACCUCAAUGGGGAACAAAAGUUUAAAAAUGAAGGCUAUGUUUUGGCUAUGGCAUUUGUUGCUGCAAAGCUUGUGGAAUGUCUUUCACAGAGGCACUGGAUGUUUAGGUUCCAGCAAGUUGGGGUUAGGAUGCAAUCAAAGUUGGUCGCAAUGAUCUAUGCUAAAGGUUUGACUCUUUCAUGUCAAUCAAAGGAGGUUCGCAGCACUGGGGAAAUCAUCAACUUAAUGACUGUUGAUGCAGAAAGGAUUGGUGAAUUUUGUUGGUACAUGCAUGAUCCAUGGAUGUGUGUUUUGCAAGUUGCUUUGGCUUUGUUAAUUCUAUAUAGAAGUGUAGGGGUUGCUUCAAUAGCUGCUCUUGCUGCCACUGUAAUUGUGAUGUUGCUAAACUUUCCCGUGUCAUCAUUGCAAGAAAAGUUCCAAGGCAAGGUAAUGGAGUUCAAAGAUAAAAGAAUGAAGGCUACGUCUGAGAUUCUGAAGAAUAUCAGGAUUCUAAAACUGCAAGCGUGGGAGAUGAAGUUCUUGUCAAAGAUUAUUCAGCUUAGGAAGACUGAGGAGAUAUGGCUAAAGAAAUUUCUAGCUAGUACAGCAAUUAUUAAAUUUCUCUUCCAUAACGCCCCAACUUUUAUUGCUGUGGUUACAUUUGGUGCUUGUGCUCUUAUUGGAAUCCCACUUGAAUCUGGGAAGGUCUUAUCUGCACUUGCAACAUUCAGAAUUCUUCAAAUGCCCAUUUACGGUCUUCCUGACACAAUUUCAAUGAUUGCACAAACUAAAGUUUCCCUUGAAAGGAUUGCAUCAUUUCUUCGUCUAGAAGAGUUGCAGACUGAUGUAGUAGAAAAGCUUCCAUGGGGUAGUUCUGAUAAGGCUAUUGAAUUAGUAGAUGGAUAUUUCUCUUGGGAUUUAUCUUCCCCUAAUACAACACUGAAAAACAUAAAUCUCACAAUUUUUCAUGGUAUGAGGGUUGCUGUAUGUGGUACUGUUGGGUCAGGCAAGUCUAGCUUACUUUCUUGUAUAAUAGGGGAAGUACCAAAGAUAUCGGGAACGCUGAAGAUAUGUGGAACCAAGGCUUAUGUUUCUCAAUCGCCAUGGAUACAGGGUGGCAAGAUAGAAGAUAACAUAUUAUUUGGUAAAGAGAUGGACAGGGGAAAGUAUAAGAAGGUGCUAGAAGCAUGUUCCUUGACAAAAGACCUUGAGAUUCUACCAUUUGGUGAUCAGACUAUUAUUGGAGAGAAGGGAAUCAAUUUGAGUGGUGGACAGAAGCAAAGAGUGCAAAUAGCCCGUGCUCUAUACCAGGAUGCUGAUGUAUAUCUGUUUGAUGAUCCCUUCAGUGCUGUGGAUGCCCAUACAGGAUCCCAUCUCUUUAAGGAGUGCUUGCUUGGUCUUUUAAAAUCAAAAACUGUGAUAUACAUUACUCAUCAAGUAGAAUUCUUACCUGAUGCUGAUCUAAUAUUGGUCAUGAGAGAAGGAAGCAUAACUCAAUCAGGAAAAUACAAUGACAUUCUCAAGACAGGCACUGAUUUAAUGGAACUUGUAGGUGCACACAGAGAAGCUUUGUCUUCAAUUAAGUCCUUAGAGAGAAAGCCAACAUUUAAAAUAUCAAGUACAUCCGAGGAGGACCCAAAUUCAUUAAGUGAUUUUGAACUUGAGAAAAAUGUGGAAAACACAAAUGAUCAAACUGAUAAGUCAAAUGACACAGUUGAGCCCCAAGGACAACUUGUUCAAGAAGAAGAACGAGAAAAGGGUAGAGUUGGGUUUAAAGUAUACUGGAAAUACAUCACAACAGCUUAUGGAGGUACUCUUGUACCCUUCAUAUUACUUUCACAGACACUCACCAUCAGUUUUCAGAUUGCAAGCAAUUAUUGGAUGACUGUGGCAACACCUGUUUCAGCAACUGCAGAACCUGAUAUUAGAAGCUUUACACUUAUGGUUGUCUAUGUUGCUUUGGCAGUUGGAAGUUCCAUUUUCACCUUUGCCAGAGCAUUUCUUGCUGCGAUAGCUGGAUACAAAACAGCCACUGUGCUCUUCAAUAAAAUGCAUUUGAGUGUUUUUCGAGCACCAAUAUCAUUUUUUGAUGCCACCCCCAGUGGUCGAAUCCUUAAUAGAGCUUCAACAGACCAAAGCACACUGGAUAUGUACAUUGCAGAUAUAUUAUGGGCAGUUACCCUCAAUCUGGUUACUCUCUUCGGAAAUAUUUUUGUGAUGUCUCAAGCUGCAUGGCAGGUGUUUAUAGUAUUGAUUCCAGUCAUGGCAGCAUGCAUAUGGUACCAGCGAUACUAUUCUGCAUCAGCAAGAGAAUUGGCACGAUUAGUUGGUACAUGCCAAGCUCCAGUUAUACAACAUUUUUCGGAAACUAUCUCUGGAUCAACAACCAUAAGAAGUUUUGAGCAAGAAUCAAGAUUUAUUGACAUAAAUAUGAAAAUGAUAGACAGAUAUUCCCAACCCAAAUUAUACAGUGCUACUGCAAUCGAAUGGCUGAAUUUCAGAUUGGAUAUUUUAUCUACUCUCACAUUUGCCUGCUGUUUGGUUUUCUUGAUAUCUUUUCCAAGUUCAAUGACUGCUCCUGGUGAGUACUUCAAAAGACAUAAACUCACUAGUCAUACUUUAUUCCUUAUGACAUUAAACACAAAACUUUAUUCAUUUUUCAUUUCAAUUUUGUAUUAUUCAAGGAAUUGCGGGAUUGGCUGUGACAUAUGGACUUAAUCUAAAUGCUGUACAAACUAAAGUAAUCUGGUUUUCUUGCAAUUUGGAGAACAAAAUUAUAUCUGUUGAAAGAAUGCUCCAAUACACAUCCCUCCCAAGUGAAGCUCCUCUUGUAAUAAAAGAUAACCAACCAGAUUAUUCUUGGCCAUCAUUUGGAGAAGUUCAUAUCCGGGAUUUACAGGUUCAAUAUGCUCCUCACUUGCCUAUUGUUUUACGAGGUCUUACUUGCACUUUUACUGCUGGAGCAAAAACUGGUAUUGUGGGAAGAACAGGAAGUGGAAAAUCAACUCUUGUGCAAACACUUUUCCGACUUAUUGAACCUGUUGCUGGACAAAUAUUGAUAGAUAGCAUUAACAUCUCUUUCAUUGGAAUUCAUGAUUUGCGGUCCCGACUGAGCAUUAUUCCUCAAGAUCCAACAAUGUUUGAAGGGACAAUAAGAACCAACCUGGAUCCACUGGAAGAGUACACAGAUGAACAGAUUUGGGAGGCUCUAUAUAUGUGCCAACUUGGAGAUGAAGUAAGGAAAAAAGAAGGGAAGCUUGACUCCGUAGUUACAGAGAAUGGAGAAAAUUGGAGUAUGGGCCAAAGGCAAUUGGUCUGCCUCGGCCGUGUUCUACUUAAGAAAAGCAAGAUCUUGGUGCUUGAUGAAGCUACUGCAUCAGUUGAUACAGCCACAGAUAAUAUUAUUCAGCAAACAGUUAAGCAACAUUUUUCCGAAUGCACAGUCAUUACCAUUGCUCAUAGGAUAACUUCAAUCCUUGAUAGUGACAUGGUUUUGUUUUUAAAUCAAGGGUUGAUUGAGGAAUAUGAUUCACCAAAGAAACUGCUUAAGAACAAGUCUUCAUCUCUAGCUCAACUAGUUGAAGAAUACACAAGGAGGUCAAAUUCUGGUUUUGGAAAUUAAAUUGAAAAUGAAUUAGUAUUAACCUCGAACCAGACAUGUCUAUAUAUAUAUAUAUAUAUAUAUAUAUAUAUGGUCACCAUUACACUUCAUGUAGUGUUCUACCUUACUGGACUAUGGUAGAGAUUUUACUCACUCUGCUUCACAUCUGAGACUUGUACGAGACUCACUACACUUUACAUCUUACUCAUGCUCAAAUAAAUUAUGCAAACUUUGAACUGUGA